Molecule: RNA transcript, 2973 nt
Organism: Cannabis sativa
Lineage: Eukaryota; Viridiplantae; Streptophyta; Magnoliopsida; Rosales; Cannabaceae
Exons: 8
Source: RefSeq, a predicted model, not a curated record
AUUUAAUAUUUUUUUUUUUUUGAUACCAAUAAUUUGAUCUACCAGAGGUUAUCAUUCCCUACAAAUCCAAACAUUUCGACCACCCCUGGACCAAGUUACUUCAUUGUCUUCCUUUGAUUAUUUAGUGGAAAUCAUAAUUCCUAGUUUACAAAUUUAAAUACAUAUUCAGAUCAAUAUAGUAUUAUUUGGUUCAAAUCCUAGACGAUGAUGUUUAACACACAAGGAGCUCAGCCCUUACCUAUCGAGAAGGAAAGGAAGCUAAUAUAUCUUCAUGGUGAAAUACCUUCAAACAAAAUAUGCCUCCAAGCUGGACAGAAUUUGAAGAUAUCUGGGGAGUUCCUUUGGAAGGUGUGAGCUCUAAAAACCCAAGAUUGACUGCAUUGUGAGUGCUCAGUGUUGUUUCUAAUAUCCUUUAGAAAAUAAAGGGAUUGUCAACAAUGGGACUCAGAGGGAGACUUGAAGGUGAAAUUAGGGCCUUACUGAAUUAAGAACCUUGGGAGGAUGACAAUUUGUUGGUAUAUUCCAUCACAUCUUCUGCGUCUGACACAUGUUUUGACGAGUCUCUCGACUUGGUCACAACUCUUGACAUGCCUACUCCUCCGCCUCUUUUGCCUCCUAUUUCAUGUCCUGCACCUGCUUCUUUGUCAUCGGAUCCGAACCCUAACGAUGAUCUUCCCAUUGUACUACGUAAAGUUGUUGCUGUUGAGGGUGGGCAUCAGAGUUUGGUGUGGGUGUUCGCCGAUGGCUGGAGACGAGAAGACCGACAUCGACGGUGUCGACUUUGACGAAAUCGGCAUCGACAGGCUAAGAAGAUCGAAGCCCUAAUUUUUUGUUGAAGCCUAGAUCUUCGUCUUAGUCUAGCACCACCGCUUCUUUAUCUCGUCGAAGGCUAGAUUUUCGUGUCAAUCCACCGGUGUUUCUUAUUCUUCUCUUUGUGUAUUGAUUUUUAAUUUUUAAUAUAUGGAUCUAAGUUAUAGCUAUCAUUUUUAGUUUGGGAUCUGAAAUUUUGUGUACUGUAUUAGUUUUGGUCUGUUUAUAGCUGCCCAAAAAUACUAAGUUAUAAGUAUUUGAAUAAGUAUUUUAAUAUUGUCUGUUUAGUUUGGGAUCUGAAAUUUUGUGUACUGAAAUUUUGAAUAAGUAUUUUAAUGUCGUAUGUUUAUGGUUGCCCAAUUGAGAGAAUGAAGAAGAAGACAAGCUUCUCUGUUGUGGGAUGGAGAUUAUCUACCUCCAGCUGCCUAUUCUAUUUUUCAAGCAGCCUUCUCGUUUCAUCAAUCAAAGAAAAAAAAAAAGGAAUGAGGAAGAAGACGAGAUAGAAUAGAGAAAAAGUGUGUUUAUUUUAAGUUUUAAAUUUUAUUAUUAUUUUGUAUUUUUCUUUUAAUUUUAAAUAAUUUUUAAUGGAAUUUUUAUUUAAAAUGUUUUUUUAGAAAUUAAAUAAUAUGGGCCAAUUAAAUAUUGCCACAUAUACAUCUAUUUGAGAUAUACAAUGAUUUAUUGUUAAUGAUUGGAAUGGUGUAACAUUUAUUUUUAAUGAUAAUGCCAUCUGGCACAUUACAAGAAAGAAAACAGAGAGGUACCUACGGAAGUUCCACACUAAUGACGGAAGGUAUUUUUACCGCCAAAAAUACGACUUAGGGACUUAUAUGCUACUCAGAGUAAAACUUAGGUAUUUAUGCCGCAAAUUAUUCUUCAAUAAAUAAUAAGAAUUAUUAUUCACCAAAAUUACAUUAAUACAACUCUUAAUUAUCCCCUAACAAAAUAUCAAAAAAUAAACAAAGAACGCAUUCUAACAUACUUGUUCUAUAGAAUGACUCAGAUGACUCAACUGUUACAAAUUUUUCCAAAGGACUUCGUUUCAAUGGUGGUUGUGAUGGCAGACGUGGUGGUCACGGAGAUAGAGGUCGUGGUGGUGGUCUCAUGGUGGAGCUUAGAGAUCGAAACAAUGGAGAGAGCUGGAACGAGCUGGAGGUAUUGGUUGUGGAGUCAGAGAAGGCAGUGGUAGCUUCAUCAGAGAAGAUGGCAGUCAUGGUGGUGGAGAAGUCAUGGUCACAUGGUGGAGGAGAAAGAGACUGCCGACAGGUGUUCCCUGCUAUGCUAAAUGUUGGAAUUGACAAGCAGAGAUUAAUUGAAGAACGUCUUUUACCUGCUUUUUGGAGAAAUAAAAUUCUGUAAAAAUUGUUCACAUUGCAACAGUUAGGUGACGUUUGGUUGGAGGAUACUUGUAAGUGUUUAAUGACAGCACGUCCACACUUGAGGAUCGAGCGAGCUUAGGUUAAAAGGCUGAGAAGGCUCGCUUGAGGAUCAUAAAGAUCUCACCCAAUGGGGCCUUAAAAGGGAUCUUUGAUUUAUUGUUUUUUUUUUCUUGUGAAUCUGAGAAUAUUACGACUUUGAGAGUUGGAGUGCUUUCUUGCAGGUACCCGAGAGAUUUCUCUCAAUUUCUCAAGACUUGGGGAACAUCUCCAUGGUUUUCAUUGUAGAUUCAUCCAAUUAAAAUCAACCUCGGACCAUACUUUGGCGAUUUGUGGAUUAAAUAUGCUUGUGAACGUUUUGGAUCUAACAUUAACAGGUUUGGAUUGGGCUUUGAUUCACUCGACCAACUCGGCAGUCGGCACUAGUGAAAAAUUAUGGAUGGAACUCAGGUCUGGCCUCAAGAUGUUCUUGUCGUAAUCUCAAGUGGUCUGCUGAUUUUUCCUACCCUGAGGUGGCCACCUUAUUCCUAGGAUUCUCAUAUUCUUGUAUCAAUGAAAUUAAUCUCCAAUCAGUAGUACAAUAAAAUUUUAGUGACUAGUGGCAAACAUCCAUUUAGUAUACUGAUAUCCUUGUAUUUUAUCGGACAUGCAAGUGCAGGACUCUUUAUAGUACUUACCUACUGCCAUAAUAUGCCAGUCAAAAUAUGAUUUUGAAGUAGCUGACAAAUUGUGUUAUCGUAUUGUGUUUGUGUUAAGACUAUACGAUAAUGAUCUUUUCAGAUCGUUU